Long non-coding RNA from Asparagus officinalis (garden asparagus), 1223 nucleotides. RefSeq lists it as uncharacterized. The transcript has 2 exons. NCBI's taxonomy places the organism in Eukaryota, Viridiplantae, Streptophyta, Magnoliopsida, Asparagales, Asparagaceae. The record is from RefSeq and is a predicted model, not a curated record.
GUUUUAAGUUGUUUUAUGAACCAUAACAUGCAGUCUUUCGUGGACAGUUGGUUAUUUCAUGAUAUUAGUAGAAGUUGAUAAAUUUCAGGUUAGGCAUCCAUUGUUGUGAUUGUAGCCUCUCUUGCCGAGUUUCCCUCUGUUUGUUCUAAUUACAAAUUUUGUAAUAAAAUGAUGGAAUAUAAGUCAUUUGCUAGCAAUUGUGAUAAAUAGGAACAAGGCACAAUAACUUGGUAAGGGCUUGUUAAUGCUUUUUACUUCUUCAAUCAAUGCUAUAUUAUGCUAAAAAUCUUCCAUGUAAUUAUAGGCAUUUAGGUGUCCCUGGAUUUGCUGGUGGAAACUGUCUUUUUAAAUAUCCUUCAUAUAUCAUAUAGGUAUAAAGUUCAUAAACUUUUUCCCCUUCAUCUUGAUUUUGAAGAAUUCACUCACUGGUUGUGGUAGUUUACAAAACCAGUGAGGCAGGUAGUUUACAAAACCAGUGAUAGACCUAAAGCUGUUUAUGCUGUCGCUAGAUGUUUGAUUUACGUGAGUAAUUCGACAAUUUCUCCCAUUUUUUCUUACGCGCUGUUAGUCAGAUUUUCUAGAUGUUUUUAUUGGUACCUGGAGGCUGGAAUAGACGAUCAAUAAAGCGAAGUAUCCUACAGGCUUAAAUCACGGUGUAAUCUCUACAUUGCUUCCAAUCAUCUUCUCAGAAGGAAAUAGGAAAAGAAAGUAGAACAGUUAGUCCUAGCGUGCUUCUAUCACGACAAUUAACUUGAAUUUGGACUUUUUGAUCGAGUUCCGUCCAAUUCUGUUAAAAUGCUGCACAUAACCUCAUCAAUUUGCUGCAGACUCAGACGCCACUUAGAGUCUGGUUGGAUAACUAGGUUCAUAAUUGUGGAUUCUUCAAAUGGGUAUCUGAUGAAGAGGAGUUUGAAGGUUCAAAGACAGUGCUUGUUCAGACAAAGCCGUCGAGCGUGAGGCCGCAAGUUUCAAGAGCCGUGUCAAGUGGAGAAUUGCGGGAAAAGAGAAAGAUUGAGAUUGAUAUUAUGGAUUUGUUGAAGCUUGUUGUAUUUGCUCUUUUAUUCGGUAUUUUUCUUGGAUUUGUAUUUGGUAUUUUUAUUGGAUUUGUGCUAAGUAGAGUGUAAGAAUGUAUUAUCCUUCUUUGUGGAAGUGUAUGUUGAUGAGAACUUCUGUUGUUCUGGAUUUGUAUCUUCAGAAAAAUUAGAUUAGUAAUUUGUUUUAUA